Long non-coding RNA from Quercus robur (English oak), 746 nucleotides. RefSeq lists it as uncharacterized. Lineage: Eukaryota; Viridiplantae; Streptophyta; Magnoliopsida; Fagales; Fagaceae. The transcript has 2 exons. The record is from RefSeq and is a predicted model, not a curated record.
CGUAGUGAUAAAGCUAGCAAUCACCUUUUCUGUUUUUCACUAGUACCCAAAAAAAAAAAAAAACCGGAGUCAAUGAUGACUACAGCUCAUCUUCUAACAUUUCUGAAAAUAUAUGUCUUGGAUGUUAAAGUUGUUAACUGAGGAAGUCUUACCUGACUCGAAGUAAAAUAAGCUACACCAGUUUUGAGAAAGUGAAUAGCUUCGUCCAUUAUUCUUUCUCCAAUAAGUCAUAGCGUCCACUCUAUUUCUCUUCAUUUCAGCUGUCCUUAUCCUUAAGAGUGUUUAGCUUUCCGGCAUAUUGAAAAAAGUUGUGCUUUCUGCUUUCUGUAGAAGCCUACUCAUUCUCUGUUUUGCUGAGAAGAAAGAAAAGGCUACUCAUUCUCAUCAAGUGGAGAAAAGCCUUCUUUGUAUUAUUUCUCAUUUGCAAUCCUCCCUAUCUGUAUUUCUUUAUCACCUUCAAUUGUAAACUCCUCUUGUAAGCUCUCGUAGUCUACGAGUUUCCUGCAGAAUAUAUUCAACUGUAAUUUUCAAGUUCCUACAUCUAUCUUCAAAUUGCAUAUCAGGUGGUGCAAGACUUGGGUACCGACUUCGAGUAGUGGAGGCUGGAAUGGAAAACUUUUCUUUAUUAUUUUAUAAAUUUGAAGAUUGUAAAUUUCUGUUCAAAUCUACUUAUGUCUAUGUCAUAUAUUUAUUCUUUAUUAAUUAUUGAGACCACACCUUAUAAGGUUGAGGUUGAGGUUGAGAUU